This 1061-nucleotide long non-coding RNA is filed under the name Fukomys damarensis (Damara mole-rat). RNAcentral's name for it is "lncRNA (ENSFDAG00000028036.1)". The record is from RNAcentral. Lineage: Eukaryota; Metazoa; Chordata; Mammalia; Rodentia; Bathyergidae.
CAUUGCCAGAAUGGUGAGAUGAUGAAAGUAUCACUGUGGAGUCAGACAAACCAGUCACAGCUAUGCUACUGUGUCUUCAGAAGUUUAUUACCUGGAAACUGAGGUAACAAUGACUCACUCUCUCACUCCCCUGCCAUGAGACUCACUAAGCUAACCUAUACAAAAGUAUUUAGAGCACAGUAGGUUCUGUUUCCUCCGACAAAGGCAUUCUGAAGAGAUGCUUGCUCCCAGAGAGCCUUGUUUCCCUCUGCUAGUCAUAAAACUUUCUUCCCUCCAGAGAACCUCUAUGCUUCUGAAAAGAUUCUUCAAUGUUCUUUUCCUAAUGGGCUCAUUUAAUUAGCUGAUGUCUGCAUGUAGCUUGGAGGAAAAGUGCUGAGGCAGCUCUUUCUAUCACCUUGUUCCCUUUCUUCCUAAUGGACUACUAAAUCUUUAAAUCUGAGCCCUGGGUAUCUAUCUGGCCCUUGUGCUGUAAGGAGAUCCAGGAGUCACCAAAUGUCCUGAGCCAAGAAUGAAGUGGCAAGGCAAGCUGAAGGAGUGGAGGUCCACAGCGUGGGGUCUGGAAUCAGCCCUGUUCUUCCCAUCUCUGAGGUCUGCCUCCUUUUCCAAGCUGUGACAUCUUGCCUAGGAAACACAUCCAGGAGAAGAGGAGUGGAGCCAGCCCCAGAAGGCAAGCCAGCAGGAACAAGCCCGGGCCUCCUCUGGAAAACCUGUCACAAUUUAUGAUCUGAGAGGAGCCAGUUUACCCAAAGGAAGAAGCUCAUCUAUUUACUGCCGUGUUUCCUCGCUUGUCCAAGACAUGCUCACUGGCCUGGGGAAGGGGGUGGCCGCGCAAGGACCAUCAGCCGGUGCAGGCUAGGCCCUGCCUGGCAGAGGUCAUCCACAGUUUCAGUUUGAAGGUCAUCCAGCCGAAUGCAGGAUGUGCCCAUGCCCCAGGAAGCCUCAGAAGGGACAGAAGACCUCAGACUGGUGUGGGACAUUUGGGCCGUGACAAUUUACACAGUCUCCUGAAGCUGCUCCACAGGCAGGACCUAGGAAGCCAUCUCGUUGCCCACAGAACCCAC